UACGAAGGGGGCUAGCGUUGCUCGGAAUCACUGGGCGUAAAGCGCACGUAGGCGGCUUUUAAGUCAGGGGUGAAAUCCUGGAGCUCAACUCCAGAACUGCCUUUGAUACUGAGAGCUUGAGUCCGGGAGAGGUGAGUGGAACUGCGAGUGUAGAGGUGAAAUUCGUAGAUAUCGCAAGAACACCAGUGGCGAAGGCGGCUCUCUGGGACGGUACUGACGCUGAGACGCGAAAGCGUGGGGAGCGAACAGG
This 250-nucleotide ribosomal RNA is filed under the name uncultured bacterium. RNAcentral describes it as "partial 16S ribosomal RNA". It matches the Rfam family "Bacterial small subunit ribosomal RNA", at positions 524 to 776 of the family's 1533-position model. The record is from RNAcentral.